RNAcentral lists this ribosomal RNA (460 nucleotides) under uncultured bacterium. RNAcentral's name for it is "partial 16S ribosomal RNA". It matches the Rfam family "Bacterial small subunit ribosomal RNA", at positions 338 to 795 of the family's 1533-position model. The record is from RNAcentral.
CCUACGGGAGGCAGCAGUGAGGAAUAUUGGUCAAUGGACGAGAGUCUGAACCAGCCAAGUAGCGUGAAGGAUGACUGCCCUAUGGGUUGUAAACUUCUUUUAUAAAGGAAUAAAACGAGGCACGUGUGCCUUGUUGCAUGUACUUUAUGAAUAAGGAUCGGCUAACUCCGUGCCAGCAGCCGCGGUAAGACGGAGGAUCCGAGCGUUAUCCGGAUUUAUUGGGUUUAAGGGGAGCGUAGAUGGGUUGUUAAGUCAGUUGUGAAAGUUUGCGGCUCAACCGUAAAAUUGCAAUUGAUACUGGCAGUCUUGAGUACAGUUGAGGUAGGCGGAAUUCGUGGUGUAGCGGUGAAAUGCUUAGAUAUCACGAAGAACCCCGAUUGCGAAGGCAGCUUACUAAACUGUGACUGACAUUGAUGCUCGAAAGUGUGGGUAUCAAACAGGAUUAGAUACCCCAGUAGUC